GAAAUGCGAUAAGUAAUGUGAAUUGCAGAAUUCAGUGAAUCAUCGAAUCUUUGAACGCACCUUGCACUCCUUGGUAUUCCGAGGAGUAUGCCUGUUUGAGUGUCAUUAACUUCUCAAACCUUUCAAGUUUUUCUUGUUAAAGGCUUUGGAUGUGAGGGUCUUGCUGGUACCUCUUAUGGAUCAGCUCCCUUGAAAUGUAUUAGUGGUUACUUGGUCCGCUUUCAUUUGGUGUGAUAGUUAUCUACGCCUUUGAAAYGAUCACUCUGCUAUCCGCUUCUAACCGUCUAUCCUUAUAGACAGCUCUCUUGAACCUUUUGACCUCAAAUCAGGUAGGACUACCCGCUGAACUUAA
Molecule: ribosomal RNA, 352 nt
Filed under: Gerronema sp. 358-580
Lineage: Eukaryota; Fungi; Basidiomycota; Agaricomycetes; Agaricales; Porotheleaceae
Description: eukaryotic LSU rRNA
Rfam family: 5.8S ribosomal RNA (bases 1-105)
Source: RNAcentral